RNAcentral lists this ribosomal RNA (254 nucleotides) under uncultured bacterium. RNAcentral's name for it is "partial 16S ribosomal RNA". It matches the Rfam family "Bacterial small subunit ribosomal RNA", at positions 524 to 776 of the family's 1533-position model. The record is from RNAcentral.
UACGUAGGUGGCAAGCGUUGUUCGGAUUUACUGGGCGUAAAGGGCGCGUAGGCGGCCAGCGCAAGUCAGUUGUGAAAUCUCCGGGCUUAACUCGGAACGGUCAACUGAUACUGCGCGGCUAGAGUGCAGAAGGGGCAACUGGAAUUCUCGGUGUAGCGGUGAAAUGCGUAGAUAUCGAGAGGAACACCUGCGGCGAAGGCGGGUUGCUGGGCUGACACUGACGCUGAUGCGCGAAAGCCAGGGGAGCGAACGGG